RNAcentral lists this ribosomal RNA (334 nucleotides) under uncultured bacterium. RNAcentral describes it as "bacterial SSU rRNA". It matches the Rfam family "Bacterial small subunit ribosomal RNA", at positions 1 to 334 of the family's 1533-position model. The record is from RNAcentral.
GUCUAGUACUCAGAGUUUGAUCCUGGCUCAGGACGAACGCUGGCGGCGUGCUUAACACAUGCAAGUCGUACGGUAAGGCCCUUUCGGGGUACACGAGUGGCGAACGGGUGAGUAACACGUGAGUAACCUGCCCACAACUUUGGGAUAACGCUAGGAAACUGGUGCUAAUACUGGAUAUGUGCUCCUGCUGCAUGGUGGGGGUUGGAAAGCUCCGGCGGUUGUGGAUGGACUCGCGGCCUAUCAGCUUGUUGGUGGGGUAGUGGCCUACCAAGGCGGCGACGGGUAGCCGGCCUGAGAGGGUGACCGGCCACAUCGGGACUGAGAUACGGCCCAG